CCUACGGGGGGCAGCAGUGGGGAAUAUUGCACAAUGGGGGAAACCCUGAUGCAGCGACGCCGCGUGAGCGAUGAAGUAUUUCGGUAUGUAAAGCUCUAUCAGCAGGGAAGAAAAUGACGGUACCUGACUACGAAGCCCCGUCUAACUCCGUGCCAGCACCCGCGGGAAUACGUAGGGGGCAAGCGUGAUCCGGAUUUACUGGGUGUAAAGGGAGCGUAGACGGCGGUGCAAGCCAGAUGUUAAAGCCCGGGGCUUAACCCCGGGACUGCAUUUGGAACUGUGCUGCUAGAGUGUCGGAGAGGCAGGCGGAAUGCCUAGUGUAGCGGUGAAAUGCGUAGAUAUUAGGAGGAACACCAGUGGCGAAGGCGGCCUGCUGGACGAUGACUGACGCUGAGGCUCGAAAGCGUGGGGAGCAAACAGGAUUAGAUACCCUAGUAGUC
RNAcentral lists this ribosomal RNA (440 nucleotides) under uncultured bacterium. RNAcentral's name for it is "partial 16S ribosomal RNA". It matches the Rfam family "Bacterial small subunit ribosomal RNA", at positions 338 to 795 of the family's 1533-position model. The record is from RNAcentral.